This is a long non-coding RNA of Lycium barbarum (goji berry), 1170 nucleotides long. RefSeq lists it as uncharacterized. NCBI's taxonomy places the organism in Eukaryota, Viridiplantae, Streptophyta, Magnoliopsida, Solanales, Solanaceae. The transcript has 3 exons. The record is from RefSeq and is a predicted model, not a curated record.
CCUUCUAGAAGGAAAAGCAAAAAAAGUUAGGUAUGAUGAAGAUUGUGAGGUGGCUGUUUUUGAGCUUGGAAUGGUCUUUGAUGGUGUAACACAAUUUAGAAAGGCUCUAGCAGACUAUGCUGUAGAAUAUAGAAGGCAGUUGAAGGUAAGACCAAAUGAUAGCCACAGGGUGAAGGCUAAGUGUAAAAAUACCAAGUGUAAGUGGCUGUUGGCAGCUAAGCUUGAUAGGGACACAAGUGAUUUUAAGGUGAUUACCUAUCAUCCCAUUCACAAGUGUAUUCCUUUGAACAAAAACAAGAUGUACACUUCUAAGCUAAUAGCAAGGAAGUUUAAGGACAGGAAGUCAAUCUCAACUAACUCCACCAACUCAAUCCAGCUCUGUUUGUAGUGACACAAGUUUUGUGCCAAGAGAUGCCCAAACUGUUGCUCCAACACCAGCAUCUAGAAUGCUGGGUCCUGCAUAUCCAACUGCUAGUUCAGCUUAUGCAACUACACAAUCAAGCUCAAUUUGUGGUGACACAAGGGCUGUGCCAGUAGCUCCACAAAAGAGGGCUCAAGUUGGAGCUGGCAGGGGAAGGGGCAGAAAAAAUUCACAAAUGCAAGAGGGGUACCAUUUGUGAGUGCAAGAGAAGAUUCUUCUUCAAGUCAAUUGCCACCAUUAUCAGGCCACAAAAGGGCAUAUACUACUGCUGGUUUUGCUGCAGCUACUGGAAAUAAAAGUAGGCCUACAACUGGUUUUUGUGUAUACUCUAAUCCUGUUACUGGAGCACAAGUCUUUAAUCCUGGUACAACAAGUGAGAGGGUUCUACAUGGUGCAACAAACUUGAAGAGUGCUUCACCAACAAAUAUUGAUAUUGCUUAUAAAGCUCGUGGAUUGAAAUGGCAAGGAAAAGAUGCAAUGACCACAUCAAAACUAUCCCGAAUGAGAGCCAACAAGAGAAACCAGAAGGCUGCAUCAGUAGCAAGCAGAUCUUCAGUAGAAGGAAGCUCCAACAAGUAGUUAAUGUAGGAAAUUUGUCACAUUUAGGGUAUUUGAAACAAUGUCUUUAUUAUAUGUAAACUGCAGCAGUGCUGUCUAGCUAGACUUAUUAUUAUGCGUUAUUGUUGUGCCAAUGACAUUAGCAGUAAUACUCUUCGAUUUGUGGAAAUCAAAUUUGUGCCAAUACUACU